RNAcentral lists this unclassified non-coding RNA (736 nucleotides) under Hevea brasiliensis (rubber tree). The record is from RNAcentral. Lineage: Eukaryota; Viridiplantae; Streptophyta; Magnoliopsida; Malpighiales; Euphorbiaceae.
UUAAUUAAAAAUUAAUUUCUCUCUCUCUCCGUUUCCUCCAUAAUUCAAACAAAGGGUUAGUUUCUGUCUGAACUAACAUUUCAGAAGUACAACUAAAAACAAUUACAAUUUGAACAAGAAACAAAGUGAAGAGAAAAAAUAAUAAAUAAAAUAGGGAUCUCACCCAUCAGAAGACUAGUUUUUCUUGUGCUUUCCAUGCCUUUCUUUUGCCAUCUCCGACUUCGCAUUGCCAUUAUUCUGGUUGCUAACAGAGCCCUCUUGAGCACUGCACAACUGAGACUUUAGCUUAAAUCCAAAUUUCUUAGACACAUUUCCCCAAGUGCUGGAACCUUUCGUUCGACCCAUCUUCUCAAUCUCCUGCCUCAUAAUGGAACACUCCAUCUCAAGCUCAGACACCCUCAUCCUCAUAUUAUCCAUUCCCACCUUCAAAACCAGAUUCUCUCUAACAGCUGUGGCCCAGCCUCCCUCGGUAGACCCAACAAAGCCACUUCUCAGUUGUCUUGACCCAUCUAGGUUGUCGGAAACCAGAAAGCAGCCGGCAAUAGAUGUCCUUAGCUGAAGUUGCUCAAAGAAGAGAACUCGGACUAUUAUUCUUAACGGUAGCCUUUCAUUCUGCGCGGCAUGAGUACAAGCUUCCAAGGAGAGCUUCUGGCAGUCCAUCAGCCUACAGAGCUGUUCUCUUCAGACUCUGCCAACCACGGGUGUGACUUCAAGUAAACGUCUAUGGCACGAUAAA